UAUAGGUAUUAGUUCAGUACUUCUAUUUAGUUAUUUAUUUAUUUUCAUAUUAUGUAGUGAAAUGUGAGUUGUAGAGUGGUUAGAGGUUUGAUAAAAAGGUGUCUUGAUAAAGAAUAAUGCUUGUAGUAAAGGCAAGAAGUGUUAUCUAUAUAUCAUAUCUUGAAAUCAUUGAUUAGUCGCUUUGAAAGUUUGAAGAUAGAAAAGGAUUUUAGCUAGGUAUGCUUGUUACGGUCUUGUUUCCUUUAUUUCCUUUUUACUUUUACAUUUGUUUUUUUUCCUUUACUUUUUCUGAGAACAGUGGGUGGGGGAGUGGAUAUACAUUGAUUAACUACUGUACUUGAAUGCAUUUAUAUUGUUUGAAAAUGUGUUGCUCCUGUAUGUAGGCUAACAACAAAGUGUAAUGAGCAAAAUAUGGUACCUGUUACUCAUUAAAGCUAUUGAGAUAGGUAGGUACAUACAUAGGGGAUCAUGCAGUUUUGCAUGUGAGCUUCAUUGACAGCUACUAUUACUGGCUGUUUGGUUGGAAGGAAUUGAAAUUCUUUUCCUACCUAAUUCUUUAACAUGUAACAUUAAAUUGCUUGGAGGGAAUUGAAUACUAGUGCAAUUAGGCUCCUAUAUGUUUUUUCAUAGUUAAAUAAUAGGCCUUUUGGUUGCAAGGGAGGGAAUUAGGGGGGGAAAGGAAUUAUAAUUCCGUGCGAAAGGAAUAAUGUGGGAAUAAAGUAGGAAUUCAAAUUCCAUUGUUUGGUAGGCAGGAAUAGAAUACCUGGGAAUUUCAAUUAUAGUGUUUGGUAUAUAUAGGAAUUGAAAGGGAAUAAGUAGUAUAAAGACCAAAAUGCCCUUGUAAUUGCAAUUCCUAGGGAAAGAUGUAGGAUUAUUAGGGAGGGGCAAUAUGGUCCUCACACUC
Long non-coding RNA from Ipomoea nil (Japanese morning glory), 904 nucleotides. RefSeq lists it as uncharacterized. The record is from RefSeq and is a predicted model, not a curated record. The transcript is spliced from 2 exons. Lineage: Eukaryota; Viridiplantae; Streptophyta; Magnoliopsida; Solanales; Convolvulaceae.